CGGACGGGUGAGUAAUGUCUGGGAAACUGCCUGAUGGAGGGGGAGUAACUACUGGAAACGGUAGCUAAUACCGCAUAACGUCGCAAGACCAAAGAGGGGGACCUUCGGGCCUCUUGCCAUCAGAUGUGCCCAGAUGGGAUUAGCUAGUAGGUGGGGUAACGGCUCACCUAGGCGACGAUCCCUAGCUGGUCUGAGAGGAUGACCAGCCACACUGGAACUGAGACACGGUCCAG
This 233-nucleotide ribosomal RNA is filed under the name uncultured Enterobacterales bacterium. Its description in RNAcentral is "partial 16S ribosomal RNA". It matches the Rfam family "Bacterial small subunit ribosomal RNA", at positions 99 to 334 of the family's 1533-position model. Lineage: Bacteria; Pseudomonadati; Pseudomonadota; Gammaproteobacteria; Enterobacterales. The record is from RNAcentral.